AACGAACGCUGGCGGCAUGCCUAACACAUGCAAGUCGAACGAGACCUUCGGGUCUAGUGGCGCACGGGUGCGUAACGCGUGGGAACCUGCCCUUAGGUUCGGAAUAACUCCCCGAAAGGGGUGCUAAUACCGGAUAAUGUCUUCGGACCAAAGAUUUAUCGCCUUUGGAUGGGCCCGCGUUGGAUUAGCUAGUUGGUAGGGUAAAAGCCUACCAAGGCGGCGAUCCAUAGCUGGUCUGAGAGGAUGAUCAGCCACACUGGGACUGAGACACGGCCCAGACCCCUCGGGGGGGGAGCAGGGGGGAAGGUGGAACAAGGGGUGAAAGCCUAAUCCAGCAAGGCCGGGGGAGUGAGUAAGGCUUUAGGGUUGAAAGGCUUUUUUACCCGGGAGGAUAAGACCGUUCCCGGGAAAAAAGGCCCGGGUUAACCCCGG
This 432-nucleotide ribosomal RNA is filed under the name uncultured bacterium. Its description in RNAcentral is "partial 16S ribosomal RNA". It matches the Rfam family "Bacterial small subunit ribosomal RNA", at positions 29 to 506 of the family's 1533-position model. The record is from RNAcentral.